AAAAAGAUAAGCUAAAAAAGCUACUGGGUUCAUACCCCAUUUAUAGAUAUUAUUCUUCUUUUUA
Molecule: transfer RNA, 64 nt
Filed under: Friesea antarctica
Lineage: Eukaryota; Metazoa; Arthropoda; Collembola; Poduromorpha; Neanuridae
Description: tRNA-Met
Source: RNAcentral